Long non-coding RNA from Monodelphis domestica (gray short-tailed opossum), 3423 nucleotides. RefSeq lists it as uncharacterized. The record is from RefSeq and is a predicted model, not a curated record. Lineage: Eukaryota; Metazoa; Chordata; Mammalia; Didelphimorphia; Didelphidae.
CAAGGCAUCUCUUCUAGCUCUUGUUUAGUUGCAGGUGACUAGGCAGUAACAGAGUAGAUGAAAAUAAUAACAGACCUGAAAACAGAUCAGACUAUUCAAACUCUCUUCCUGUUGUUUUCUGCCACCCAGAAAAUGUGCUCAGUAAGUCACAAAUCCAAGGUGAAAAGAGCAGACUGAAUGAAGGUUAUCUACACAUCCGGGGCUUCAAGAGCAGCUUUAUUGGACUCUUACUGAACCUGAGUUCAGCAGAGGCUUGGCGCCAUCAUGUGCACAGGGCCGAAUCUUUUAAUGGAACACACAGGCCAUAUUUGUACUUCUCUAGACAUCCUGAAAAAACCUACAAAAGACUCGCUAACUAAGCCCUAUUCUAAUGCCACACCAGGAUGUAGAUGUGACCCCAGGUAUUUGGAUAAGAUGAGAAAGCUGGGGAAGUUUCAGAUGACAGCGCUCUCUCUAUGGAAUGAGAAGGCUCCCACAAAGCAAGAGAAGGAGCUGCCAUCCUGCAGAGAACCAACUCACCUGGAGAACUCUUCCUGACAGAAAAUUCUCUCGGCAGUAAUUGUAACUUGCACGGGCACCUUCUUUGAUGCAUAGCCUCCAACCCUAAACAGGGGGGGGGGGGGGGGGGAAUCAAGAUGAACUUACAUUGUGGAUUAUAUCAGUGUCAGAGUAGAAACCGAAAGCUCUACAUGUAGGGUGCUAUAGCAGCCACACACGUUUUAUGCUCACCUUGUAUGCCUGAAGAAGGGCCAGAUAAUCACUGUUUGCUAAUGCAAACUCCAACUUUUUCUGAUUUGCUUCUUCCCUUUUGUCCCAGGGAGAUACCUAAAUAAAAAUUAGGAGUUGAAGGCCACUACUCAUUUCAGCUUUUAACUAACACUGUUCUAUUGUGGGUACCGGGUGCUUUGAAAAAGCAUUUAGUCUAAAACAAAGCAUCCUAAUUUUGUGGCUGAUUAGUUGCAAUCAGGAUGUUCUUGGAAACUCUAUUUUGAUCUGCCCUUGUGUUUCCAUCCACCCACAAUAAAUUAUUCUGGAUCUUUAGCUUCUAACUGGCAAUACUCCACCAAAAAAGCCACACUAAAAAGGUGCUACCAAAACCCUAAAUGCCAGUACCUUAUUUAACCCUUUGACAUCUUAAGUUUAGCAGAUUCUCUUUCAGAGAAUCAAAUGAUUCAAGUCUAAAAGUACUCUAAUGUUUCUUACUUGUCAUAACUAGUUAAUAACUAGUUUCCUACAUGGUCAUAACUAGUUAAUAUCUUUUUACUCUCACAAUGUCUCCUAGUCCCUGAUCUUCAUCUUUCUCUUUUUUUCCUCUCAGAAUUUGACUCCCUAAUUCCUUUUGAAUUCCAUGUAGGUUGCUUCUCUCACUUUUACAGAAGCAACCUACUUGCAAAACAAUUUUUUUUAAAAGUCUGAACCAAAUAGAAUAUUUAAUUCUGAUAUUUACAUCUAUUUUUAAAAUUAGGCACUUAAUCCAAUUUCCAGUCUCUAUUAAAAGAAAACAAAUUCUAAUUCAAGAAAAACAAUGGGAAAUGGUUAACAUUUUGGAAAAUAGCAUUUUUCAUACAGGACUAGCAAAAUGCCAAUCUAGUGAGACUGGGUACUUAAUGUUUCUAAAUGCAACCUAAUAGUAUUAGAACAAAAGAUAAUGCUUUAUACAUGAUAACUGUAGCUGAACUUUGAGAUGAUGGAUUUAUGUCAUCAGAAGUAUCAUCUAAGUAUUCAUCUGAGCUGAAGAGAAAGUGUUCAGUCAGCCCCAUCUGUACAAACAAGCCUUGGUACAACAUAAUUGUAUUCACUGAAGAAUCUAAGCUAUGGCUUUUACGUACCACUCAAGGCCAUUACACAGAAUUUGGAUCAUGUUAGUUUAGAGAAAUGUUGUCCAGGCUACAUACAAUACUUACAAAAGGGGACUUAAAGGCCAAACUAGCUGCAAUUGUUAAGGCAGGAUCCAGGCAACGGAAGAUGGCACCAAAUAGCAUGAACUUGCCAAUUCUCACAUCCACUGGUAAAGAAGCCAAAUGAUAACCCAAGGGGGUCAACUUUUCAUCUGAAGUUAAAGCCCCUAAGUCUUGAAGUCGAACUUUUGCGGUCCGGAGAGAUUCAAUUCGAGGUGGCUCAAUAAGCUGAGAGAACACAGACUGAAGGCUGUGAUCACUAAACAUCUCCAAAAUUUUAAUUCUUAAAAUGGAAAGAAAAUUACCUGUCAAUUUUAUGCUGACCAUUGUCAUUCAUGGAAUGACACAGAAGAUUUAAGUUUUCACCUUAAAGACAAAAAUAACAUUUAAGUUCUCAGAUCCUCACAUGUUUUCAAUGACCAAGUUACGAUCUUCAAAUUCAAACUUUGGGUCAUUGAUAAAGUUUUCCUAGAAGAAGUCUAAGCUCCUGAAAACUUCAGUUUACAGUGAGUAGAAUCUUCCCUCUCAACAUUCCAAAUGUCUAAGAUCUCUCUCAGUGAGUACAAACAGGGAAUUGAUUCCAGUUAAUUCUUAUAUUCCUUAGAGCAUUUACUGAUUGUGUAACUAACAUGGCAACUCUAUCAUCUUCUACCUUGUGGAGAGGCAGUAUGGCCUAAUGGCUAAAGACUAGGACUUAAAUUGAGGAAGAUCUGGAUUCAGAACUCUUUUCUGCCUUGGGUCAUGUUCUGGGCAACUUUCUAUGAUUUUAAAUUACAGAAAAGGUACUGUAAUUUUUCCUUACCAGGAAGUUCCCUGUACUAAUGAAAUCAGAGGUCUGGCCCCUAUCCCUAUCCCUAUCUACCUUGUGACAGACCAUUUUAAAUGGAAUUUAAUUAAAUGGUUUAGCAUAUGUUUAUGUCUUGUCUUCUCAAGUAGACUUUAAACAUCUUAAGAGAAGUUACUGUCACAUAUGUCUUUGAAUCCUCCAAAGUACCUUGUUCAAAACAAGUAUUCACUAAAAUUUUUGAUGAUUUGAUUUAUUCUUAGAAAGCUAAGCAGAACUGAUCUAACAUUUUACAUUUCUGACACUUCAUAUGAAAAUCCUCAAUGUACCUGUACUCAUUUUUUCUUAAGGUCUAUUUUAGGCCUUUAUCCAUCAAGGUUCUUUCAAAAUGGUUUCCACCUAAUACAGUCAUUUUGAAUGAAGUCUGUCAUAAAUAUAUAUAUAUAUAAUGCAAGUGAAGCAUCCUUGAGGAGUUUCUAUAUACCUCAUCAUGUGCACCUGACUGGUUCUUUUAUGUCAGUAUGUGGCAACAUUUUUUUCUACUUGGAAAAAGGAAUGGAUAUGGAUGGCCAAGUCAAUUAGGUCAAACUGAAAACACUUGGAAGCAGAUCAUAGACAUUCAGAUGUACCUGAGACACAGUUGUUCCAAUGGCACCCUUUGUAUUUCUGGCAGAUGUUGUUUUAAAAGCUGAUUAUUGUAGUGAUGACUACUGAAUAAAUGAAAGCAGACUCCAGAGGCAA